Long non-coding RNA from Armigeres subalbatus, 1046 nucleotides. RefSeq lists it as uncharacterized. The transcript is spliced from 2 exons. NCBI's taxonomy places the organism in Eukaryota, Metazoa, Arthropoda, Insecta, Diptera, Culicidae. The record is from RefSeq and is a predicted model, not a curated record.
GGAUGUCCGUCAGGGCCGUCGUUUGUGCUGUGGAUUCGCCGGUCGGUUGUGGAUCAAUCGCGACGUUUGCUCCAGUCGUCAGCGCGUUUUGUUGUCCCUUCGUUCUUUACCUACAGAAGUCUAGCGCCAGAUGCUUGAGUCGAUAUUUCGAGUGAAUGCGUGGAACGUGUUUAAUUGUGGAGGGUGGCCUAGUGCUUGAAUAUACCAAAUUGGCAAAGGAUUAGGAGCUGUCCCAUCAAAAUGCUUAUUUUGGAAAAAGCUCGUGACUUGUAGCACCGAAUUUUGCCAGCUACUAGCCACCGACGCUAAUGAUGAUUACUCGUCCAAAAACAAUGCAACAACGUGUCACCGCCACAACACAAUGUUUCUCAAUAUCCUUUGGCAUGACCGUCGUUUGUCUCGACCCAAGUGAAGCACUAGCCAUGCAAUUCACCUCAGAAGUGGAGCCUCCUCUGGGAGGACACGAUUGCAAUGAAAGAAGUUCAAACCGUAAGCUGGCGGUGGUGGUGGUUAAUUUUAAGUGCUUCUUCGCAGAAGAAAACAGCAUGGCGCACCUCGAGUGAAACCGAGUGUUUUUGUAGUCAACAAAGGCGACAACAGCUAGAUUUAGCUUUUCAACGAAUCAUCAGGCUAAUUAUCUGGUUAUUCAGAAGUUGUAGAAAUGGAAUUUUGCUGACCUGAAAGCCUUAGAGUGGGAUCUAAAAUGUGUCAAUGAUGUGAAGAAAGUCACUGGAUAGGCAAACAGUAGGUCGGUGUCUGUUGUAGAUUAGGAUUAUUAAACGUGAUUAUUGCAUCCGGAAGUGAAUUUCAGAAAAUGCUAGGCUAACAGUCUAGAUCUAAGUAGAAUGGUAGGAAGAAGUGAUUGAGUUGCGGUGGGAGCUUUUCGUAACAGCAAUAUCCUUCCAAAAAUAGCAACCGAAGUGUAAGCUGAAAAUUAAAUCCGAAAGAGUGUUUGUUUGACCAGUGAAAAUAGCCCGGAGAUGGUCGAAUCGUACGAGAGCUAUCGGUGCUCUCUACUUUCACCGUAAUUUGGGGCAAAAGUGAUU